Molecule: ribosomal RNA, 487 nt
Filed under: uncultured Acidobacteriota bacterium
Lineage: Bacteria; Pseudomonadati; Acidobacteriota
Description: bacterial SSU rRNA
Rfam family: Bacterial small subunit ribosomal RNA
Source: RNAcentral
AGAGUUUGAUCAUGGCUCAGAAUCAACGCUGGCGGCGCGCCUAACACAUGCAAGUCGCACGAGAAAGCGGGAGCAAUCUCGCAAGUACAGUGGCGUACGGGUGAGUAACACGUGGAUCAUCUACCCUGGAGUGGGGAAUAACGCUGGGAAACCGGCGCUAAUACCGCAUAUUCCCGAGAGGGGAAAGCAGCAAUACGCUCGAGGAGGAGUCCGCGGCCGAUUAGCUAGUUGGUAGGGUAAAAGCCUACCAAGGCUGUGAUCGGUAGCCGGCCUGAGAGGGCACACGGCCACACUGGCACUGAAACACGGGCCAGACUCCUACGGGAGGCAGCAGUGGGGAAUCUUGCACAAUGGGGGAAACCCUGAUGCAGCGACGCCGCGUGAGCGAUGAAGCCCUUCGGGGUGUAAAGCUCUUUCGGCAGGGAAGUAUUAUGACGGUACCUGCAGAAGCAGCCUGCCGGCUAACUACGUGCCAGCAGCCGCGGUA